GCCGGUGUGGUGUAGUGGUUUAAGCAUUGGACUGUAACUCUAGAGACCAGGCUUCAAAUCCCUGCUCUGACA
RNAcentral lists this transfer RNA (72 nucleotides) under Phrynosoma platyrhinos (Desert horned lizard). RNAcentral's name for it is "tRNA-OTHER". It matches the Rfam family "tRNA". Rfam says of the family: Transfer RNA (tRNA) molecules are approximately 80 nucleotides in length. Lineage: Eukaryota; Metazoa; Chordata; Lepidosauria; Squamata; Phrynosomatidae. The record is from RNAcentral.